UGAGGAUGGCGGACGGGUGAGUAACGCGUAAGGAACUUGCCUCUUGGUCUGGGACAACUGUUGGAAACGACAGCUAAUACCGGAUAUUAUGAGAUUCUCGCAUGGGAAACUUAUGAAAGCUAUAUGCGCCAAGAGAGAGCCUUGCGUUCCAUUAGCUAGUUGGUGGGGUAACGGCCCACCAAGGCGACGAUGGAUAGCCGGCCUGAGAGGGUGAACGGCCACAAGGGGACUGAGACGCGGCCCUUACUCCUACGGGAGGCAGCAGUGGGGAAUAUUGGACAAUGGGCCACAAGCCUGAUCCAGCAAUUCUGUGUGCACGAUGAAGGUCUUCGGAUUGUAAAGUGCUUUCAGUUGGGAAGAAGAAAGUGACGGUACCAACAGAAGAAGCGACGGCUAAAUACGUGCCAGCAGCCGCGGUAAUACGUAUGUCGCAAGCGUUAUCCGGAUUUAUUGGGCGUAAAGCGCGUCUAGGCGGAAAAAUAAGUCUGAUGUUAAAAUGCGGGGCUCAACUCCGUAUUGCGUUGGAAACUGUUUUUCUAGAGUACUGGAGAGGUGGGCGGAACUACAAGUGUAGAGGUGAAAUUCGUAGAUAUUUGUAGGAAUGCCGAUGGAGAAGUCAGCUCACUGGACAGAUACUGACGCUAAAGCGCGAAAGCGUGGGGAGCAAACAGGAUUAGAUACCCUGGUAGUCCACGCCGUAAACGAUGAUCACU
Molecule: ribosomal RNA, 713 nt
Filed under: uncultured bacterium
Lineage: Bacteria
Description: bacterial SSU rRNA
Rfam family: Bacterial small subunit ribosomal RNA
Source: RNAcentral